GACGGUUUAUGAGACGUUUUAAAUAACGCCCUAGUUUUACAUUGAUUUCUCAAAAAUUAAGAUUUACAUUGAAUUUUUUUUUCUCCUGGAAACCACCCACGUCCUCAUCCUCUCUGCGUGCUGCAACAAACUCCCAUCUAGAUUGAACUGCCUGCUUGGUGCCGCCGCCUAUCUUCCACCGGUCGCCAUCUCGAUGCCUGCCGCCGGCUCGUCCUCGACCGGGGGCCAGCGGCGCCUCAUCCUCGGCGAGUCAAUGCCACAUCUGCCUCCUCCUCCUCAGGCCGCCGCCCACCACUGCCUGCUCUGAUCCUCGCCAUAGGAGCCACCGCUGGCAGUUUGCCGCCUUAUCAGCGACUCCCCGUCGCCAACGCGUCCCUCCCUCAGUUGCCUUCACCAGCCCAGCGACAACUCCACGGUGGUAGCUUGGUAGGUAUGCUCUCUCAUCCCCUAAUCUGUAAGGCUUAAGGAACUACAAAGGUGCUUUGAUUUGUUUGUGUGAUUCAAUUUGUCCAGACUUUAUGUUGAGUUCUACCCCAUCGGAUUAUUUCGUAAUCCUGCAGAAGUAUAAAAGAGUAAAUAUUGAUCUGUACCUUUCGUUCUUUCUGCUUCAGGGAUGAACCAUCGUACUAGUUGUUUGACGAAAUGCUAAUACCAAUACUUGCAUGAUGCAGAUCUGAUAAUCAAUUUGAUGAUUUGUGAACCUCUGUGGAUCAAUCAAUACCAAUAUGUCGAUCAUUAAGGGCUCAUUAUAAAUUCUUUUUUGCUACUGAUUCCAUUCCAUUUGAUGACUACAUUUGGAAUUUUAGCUUCAAGAAGGCACAAAAAUACAGAUGAGUAUUGUUGAAGUUCUGAAUGAUGCGAUGGUUCUUCAUACUGUCCUUCGGUGGCAUAUGAGUAAAGGAAUAGAGAUGCUGGUCCAAAAUGGGAGAUUUGCUUUCUAUAUGCUGAAGUUUCCAAAGUAUUUACAUGCAGGAGGGAGAGCAACUGCUAAAGUGUCAAAGAAGAUACUGAAGAUUGUAAAGGAUUGCUACAUCAUGCUGUGAAGGAGGAGGAGAUAAAGCAAGAAUUAUCUUAAGAACAGUUAUAGAUAUAUUUUAUCAUGCUGUGAAGAAGGGAGGAGAUAAAACAAGAAUUAUCUUAGGAAGAGUUAUAAAUUUAUUUUUCUAAGAGAUGACGCAAAUCUCUUUUUUCUGUAUGGCUGUUUAGCUGACUUGUGAAUCACAAUUGUCCUUAAUAUAAUUACCUUUCAUCUA
Non-coding RNA from Oryza sativa Japonica Group (Japanese rice), 1253 nucleotides. The record is from RefSeq and is a predicted model, not a curated record. NCBI's taxonomy places the organism in Eukaryota, Viridiplantae, Streptophyta, Magnoliopsida, Poales, Poaceae.